AACGCACAUUGCGCCCUUUGGUAUUCCGAAGGGCAUGCCUGUUUGAGUGUCUUAUAAACCUCACCUCUAUAGUUUUCUAUAGUUGUGCUUUGGGUGUUGCCGUUUACUCUGGCUCGCCUUAAAUGUCUAAGUGGAAUGCGUAAUAAGUUCUCGCAACCCUCCACUCUAACACACUUUAUAUUCUGACCUCAAAUCAGGUAGGACUACCCGCUGAACUUAA
This 220-nucleotide unclassified non-coding RNA is filed under the name uncultured Tremellales. RNAcentral describes it as "sequence contains ITS2". The stretch from base 1 to 52 matches the Rfam family "5.8S ribosomal RNA", at positions 103 to 154 of the family's 154-position model. The record is from RNAcentral. Lineage: Eukaryota; Fungi; Basidiomycota; Tremellomycetes; Tremellales.